CAGCAGCCGCGGUAAUACGUAGGGUGCAAGCGUUAAUCGGAAUUACUGGGCGUAAAGCGUGCGUAGGCGGCUUCUUAAGUCGGAUGUGAAAACCCUGAGCUUAACUUAGGAAUUGCAUUCGAUACUGGGAAGCUAGAGUAUGGGAGAGGAUGGUAGAAUUCCAGGUGUAGCGGUGAAAUGCGUAGAGAUCUGGAGGAAUACCGAUGGCGAAGGCAGCCAUCUGGCCUAAUACUGACGCUGAGGUACGAAAGCAUGGGGAGCAAACAGGAUUAGAGACCCCUGUAGUCCCUGUCUCUUAUAC
Molecule: ribosomal RNA, 301 nt
Filed under: uncultured bacterium
Lineage: Bacteria
Description: partial 16S ribosomal RNA
Rfam family: Bacterial small subunit ribosomal RNA
Source: RNAcentral